CCUUCUCAAUCCCUAAGCAUUCUUAUCCAACCUAUGAUCUUUUCACCUACUUCACGUUUUUCUUUCUUGAUCUUUUCACACUGGCGAACCCCAUGUAUGCCGACGAACCCCUCAAACGCCUUUGUGUUUUCCCCCUUCGCGUUUUCCUUCCUGAACCUAAACGCCUAAACCUCUUCCUGAACCCUAAGCGGCAAAACACAUCUUCGUCCAACCUAUGAUCUCUUCACCUAGCUCUCUACAUUUUGAUGAACUGGGAGUGGGCGAGAUUCCCCUCUGCAUUCUUUUCCUCACCCCGCAUGUUGCCACCGAAGCCCUCUCCCAUAGCCUCGCCAUCACCAGCAGCCUCCCGCCCCUCCUCCAGCUCUGCCGCCGCCUUGCUGCCACCAGAAUCCCCCCGACUUCCCCGACGAGCUCUUCUUCAUCCUAUAAGAGGAAGGCGGAACGAAUUUGUGCUUCUUUUGUUGUUGUAAUUUUUUUUCCUUCUCUCAAUGUUUUCUAGGAUUUUCGGCGCUGCGAGAGCUUGCUUGAAUGAUGCUGAUUUGCAUCCCGGAGGUGGAUGAAAUCGUUUGUCCUCACCCUCAUUGGAUGGUGGUUUUGGUGUUGGGAGCUGGUUUGAUGUGGAGGUCGAGCUGCAGAUGCCAUAAAAUCGGAGGACUGUGGGUGGCGCAAGAUUGAUCUGCGGGACGAUGGAUGUGAAGAACUUUGUGAUUUUUAUCGUUUGUCUGAGUUUGGUCCUUACUUUGCCGAUGCACGGAUCUGGUGGGAGGAUAAGAGCGGGGAACUUGUCAUUCGAAUUGGGAAAUUCUGAGCUGAUAGAUUCUUCUCAGAUGAUGAGUGCAUGGCGAAAAAAGAGUACAUUGCCUGUCUCAAAUCUUUUGGUUACCAAUUAGAAAAAUGCAGGCACCUAUCGAAGAAAUACUUGCAAUGCCGAAUGGAAAGGUUAGUUUGCAUCUAGUUUAGCUUUUUUCCCUCUUAAUGGAACAUUCUUGAGAUAGAAAUGAGUGCAAAAUAAGUCUGUUAAUAUCUUAGUUGUCUUAGAAGAAGUCUAUUGUGUCACUUGUGCUGGGCUAUUGUAUAAUUUGAAUACUUAAUUCUAUAUUUUUCUCUUUACUUGACGUUAUAAUUGUUCCUCUUUGAAAGUGCCCUUAA
Molecule: long non-coding RNA, 1149 nt
Organism: Zingiber officinale
Lineage: Eukaryota; Viridiplantae; Streptophyta; Magnoliopsida; Zingiberales; Zingiberaceae
Exons: 2
Source: RefSeq, a predicted model, not a curated record